GCGGAGGAAAAGAAACCAACAGGGAUUGCCUCAGUAACGGCGAGUGAAGCGGCAAAAGCUCAAAUUUGAAAUCCUUCGGGAGUUGUAAUUUGUAGGUUGGGAGACCCCGCGGCUAGUGGCACCAAGUCCCUUGGAACAGGGCGCCUUAGAGGGUGAGAGCCCCGUAGGUACCACAACACCGUCUUGUGUCUCCUCUCCAAAGAGUCGAGUUGUUUGGGAAUGCAGCUCAAAGUGGGUGGUAAAUUCCAUCUAAAGCUAAAUACCGGCGAGAGACCGAUAGCGAACAAGUACAGUGAUGGAAAGAUGAAAAGCACUUUGAAAAGAGAGUGAAACAGUACGUGAAAUUGUUGAAAGGGAAGGGCUUGCAAGCAGACACGGCCUUCGUGCCGGGCCAGCAUCGGUUGCUAGGGGUGGAUAAGGAACAAGGAAUGUAGCUCCUCGGAGUAUUAUAGCCUUGCGCGAUACACCCACUGGCGACCGAGGCCUGCGGUAUUCUUUACCUAGGAUGCUGGCGUAAUGGUUGCAAGCCGCCCGUCUU
This 538-nucleotide ribosomal RNA is filed under the name Sungouiella intermedia. Its description in RNAcentral is "partial 26S ribosomalRNA". It matches the Rfam family "Eukaryotic large subunit ribosomal RNA", at positions 50 to 655 of the family's 3401-position model. Lineage: Eukaryota; Fungi; Ascomycota; Pichiomycetes; Serinales; Metschnikowiaceae. The record is from RNAcentral.